Non-coding RNA from Peziza echinospora, 72 nucleotides. The record is from the annotation of a GenBank genome assembly. Lineage: Eukaryota; Fungi; Ascomycota; Pezizomycetes; Pezizales; Pezizaceae.
GGCUCUAUGGUCUAGUCGUAUGAUUCUCGCUUUGGGUGCGAGAGGUCUCGGGUUCAAUUCCCGAUGGAGCCC